ACAUGAGUUGAAAAAUUACAAAGAAAAGUUUGAUCGCAACACACUUACGAUUGGCUUAUAGGGCACUUUUCUUUCAAUCUCCCACUUACACUAAAGUCAAUCACCUUUGUAUCUCAAUCCUAUACAAUCAAGAUGACGAUCAAAUAGCUACUGUGGUAUGGCCUUAGUAAAUGGGUCUACUAUAUUAUUCUUUGUAUCUACUCAUUCAAGGACAACAUCUUGUCUUUCUAUUUUUUUUCAAAUG
Molecule: long non-coding RNA, 244 nt
Filed under: Elaeis guineensis (African oil palm)
Lineage: Eukaryota; Viridiplantae; Streptophyta; Magnoliopsida; Arecales; Arecaceae
Description: long non-coding RNA (EGUI_LNC050378)
Source: RNAcentral